Molecule: long non-coding RNA, 4095 nt
Filed under: Sus scrofa (pig)
Lineage: Eukaryota; Metazoa; Chordata; Mammalia; Artiodactyla; Suidae
Description: lncRNA (ENSSSCG00000054214.1)
Source: RNAcentral
AAUCCCUUGGAAAUAUAGUGAAUGAUUACAAAAACAUAAUAAAAUUGGGAGUCUAGCCCAUAGCCCUAUCUACUUAUACGGCCAGAUAAGUAAGGACUGACAUAGUUUAUAUAUUAUAUUUAAAGUAUUAAUAAGUGUUAAUAACUAUUCAAUUUUGUUGAGAAAUAAUUUACAAAUAUUAUAUAUAAAGUAUACAAUGUGAUGAUCUGCUCUACAUAUACAUUGUGCAAAGUUUACCAAGCUAAGAUAAUUAACAUACUCAUCUCACAUAAGUGGUCUUUUGUAUGCCUGUGUGUAAUGUUGUAGGGGAGGAAAAUUUUUCCCUUCUUUCCUUACAGUUUCUUUGGCUGCUGUAAUAAAUAAAUUGACAUAAGACAGUUUAACAAGAGAAAAAGGAAUUUAAUUACAUAUUUACCAGAGCCCCAUAAAGACAUGGAACUCAAAGACAAGUUGGGUAACUGAAUCUUAUAUGCCAUCCUUAGCUAAGGAAUGGAAUAGGUCAUGGUGGGGGUUGUGUCCUAUUUAGGGACAAAAGCCUAACUGAUUUAGAAGGAGAAUACAUGAAAAGAUGCUUUACAUCAUGUGUAAUUAGGGAAACAAAAUGACCAGAUGCCACUACACACUUUUAGAAUGGCCAAAAUCCUGAGCACUGACAAUACCAAAUGCUAAUUAGAUAUGGAGUGAUAAGAACUCUUAUUCAUUGCUUGUUGGAAUGCAAAAUGGUAUAGCCAAUUUGUAAGGAUAUUUGAAAGUUUCUUACAAAAAUAAACAUAAUGUCAUAAUAUGAUACAACACCUUAGUUUUUAUGCAAAUGAGUUGAAAACUAAUGUCCACACAAAAAAACACAACAUAAACAUUUAUAGAAGUUUUAUAUGUUUCCAAAUCCUGUAAGCAGCCAAAAAUAUCCUUCAGUAGAUGACUAGAAUAAUAAAUUGUGGUACUAUCACACAAAGUAAUAUUCAUCACUAAAAAGAACUGAGCUAUCAAGCCAUUAAAAAAAUGGAGGAAACUUAGAGGUAUAAUACUAAGUGAAAUAAACUAAUAUGAAAAUGCUAUAUAUACUGUAUGAUUUCAACUAUUUGACAUAUUUGAAAAGGCAAAACUAUGAAGACAGUUAAACAAAAACAAAAACAAAAACCAGUGGUUGCCAGGGAUUAGUAUGGUGAGAGGUAUAAAAAAGUGGAGCACAGAAUUUUAGAGCAGUAAAAUUAUUCAGUAUGUUACUACAAUGAUAGAUACACAUCAUUAUGAAUUUGUCCAAACCCAUAGAUUUUACAAUGGCAAGAAUGAAACCUAAUAUAAGCUAUGGACUUUGGCUAUAAUGAUGUAUUGACUUUGACCUAUCAAUUGUAACAAAUGUAUAACCCAGUGGGGGAUAUUUGUAAUGACAGAGGCUCUGUGUGUGUGGAGGCAGGAGGUAUAUAGUAAAUCUCUUCACCUUCCCAUCGAUAAUUUUUGAACUGCUCUAAAUCUAAAGUCUAUGGAAAAAACACAGGUGUGCUUCACCAGGUUCUCCACUCAUUCUCACAAAGCCAAAAUCAAUGUGUUGCUCAGACUUGGUUCUCGUUUAGAGGACCUGGGAAAGAAUCCAUUUCCAAGCUCUUUCAGUUACUUGUUUUUGUAGCAUGAGCUUCUGGUCCUUGAUGAUGGUCAGAAGCCUUAGAGGCCUCACGAAUUCCCAUUCUUAUGUCCUAUCUUUACCAAACAUAAAGCCUUCUCAUGUUUGGAAUCUGACUUAUUUUAAAAGCAAAAUGUCUGCUUUUAAAAGACUCAUGUGAUUAUAUUAGUUCCAUGUUGAUAAACUCUCUUUUAAUUAACUCACAUUCAACUGACGAGUAACCUUAAUGAUAUUUGCAAAAGCUAAUUUUCCAUGAAAUAUAACAUAAUCACAGACAUCCAUUUCAUUAAGUUCAUAGUCUUGGGAAUUCAGUUGAAACACCUUGGGGAGUCCUUUUAGGAUUCUGCCUACCACAUUUUACAAGCGUUUUAAUUUGGAGAUGUCUUUUUAUUAGCAUAUAACUUGAAUUCUUGAGAUAAUUUAGGAAAUCUGAAUAUUUAAUGAUAUUUUUAUUCAGUUUAAUGUCAUCAAUUAUCAACUCAUUGCUUCUGAGCUCCAAAAUCUCUUUUUACUUAUUCUGUGAAAAUGGAUCUGGACCAUUAUUUUUUUUUCCCAUUGUCAGUAGAGGGCACUAGAAAAAGUGGGUACUAGGGUGCUUGUUCAGAUAGUUCCUCCAGUGUGUGUGUCUUCCCAGCACCCGGCUUCUGUGGUGAAUUCAGUUUCUUCAGUGUCAGGUUAUCUGCCCUGCACACUGCAUUUCCAGGGCCUGACGGCCAGCAGCAAACACAGUCAAAAGCUUCAUGGCAGCCCUUAGGUUGGUUUUCUAAUGGAAACACCUCCCAACUAUAUUCUAGAGGAUGAAUUUCCAGUACUUUCUGGAGGGCAAGCCUGCAAAUUCUGCCAGCACAAAGAUGGUGUUUUAUCUGAAUUCAGUGAUUCAUGGUUGAGCACCUUUCAACAAGUAGAUUUCUGUCUUGGUCAGUGGAGACAUAUUGCUUCAGCACUUAUCUCAGCCCCUCUUAUCUCAACCACUAUAAGUGGUUACUCCUUAUAUCUGCUAUUCCUGUAUUUAGAGUUCUGCUUAUUCUCCUUAGACAAUUGAUUGUCUCUGGUUUUCUGAUAUAGUUAAUUUAUUUUUAUCAUUCCCAUUUUUCAUAUUGCACAGUCAUUCCCACCUGAUGGGACCCAUACUGAGAGAUACACAAAUAGUAAUUACUUACAAUAUAUUCAUGUAUAUCAUGUCUGUUUUUAGAUCUGGCACUGUUCUAAACCAACCUCUAUCAUAUAAAUAAUUCUUCAAGUGUUUUAUAUUUUGAGAAACUGAAUUUUAUUAAAUUUUAAAUAAAUAUAAGGUAUAUGGAAUAACUGGAAUUUACACUAAAACAUUCAAUUUCAUGAGUUUAUUCUGCAAAUACUUUUAGAUUUAGGUUAAUUUCCAGUAUGUCAUUUUGUGUUUGGUAGUAAAUCUUUAGUUUCUAUUCUUCAUUUUAGAAAUAAAUUCUCUUGUUUGCCUUGAAAUUGAGUUUGACUUUAAAUCUACCAAGAUUUAAAAGUGAUUUCUAUUUCUACUUUUAUAAUAGUCAACCUUAAUGUUUUUUAUAUAUGUACUCUCCUGAAAAUAAAUCCUGGAGUCCUAUCCUCUCUAAUAAGAUACAAAUAUUUAUUUUUAAUUUUUUUCCUCUUUUCUCUUUUUUUUCUCUUUUUCUUCUCAUUUAUUUUGUAAUACCCACUUAUAGGAGUAUACAACCCUUGAUACAUAUGGACAGUUUGGGUAUCUUAAUAUCAGCUCCUCUUUAGAGCCAAUUCAAGGCUAUGUCUUCUACCCAAGGAAGGCUUUAGAACUUAUGUGCUUUUUAUUGCAAAUAAUCCCAGGAAUAGCCUUUCCCACUCUCCUCAACUGAGCUGUUGUUUUAGGUCAGGAUUAUUUGAAUUUCAGAAACAUUUUUUGUUUUGAGUCUUGGAAUGAUCAAUUACUUUUGUAGAAACUGGGUUUUACAUUAAUAUUUUUUCUAAUAUUUCCAGGCAUUUUACAAAGGAAAGUAUUCAGGGUAUUUACAUCUACAAGGGAGUUUUAAGAAAUGGAAAUGAUAAGAAAAACAAUGUUAAUACAUUUGAAAUUUUUGCUAAUAUAUACAGUUCUUCAGGAACAUUCAAAUAAUCACAUAAAACUCUAAUAAUAAAAUAGCUUUCUAACAAUUAAAUUAACCAUAUAAUCUACAAGUUAUACUCCCAGUAUCAUGCAUAUAUUUAUGAUCGUGAUUAUUUUAGUAACAUCUCAAAUAGCGUCCACAACUAGCCAAUUUUUAUGGCUAUUGCAAAACUGCCUUUACAAUUGUCUAAUUUAUUGUCAUCUCUCACCAAAGCCACCCCAAUAGACGCCUAUGUUUCCUAGCUUCAUUCUUGCCCUUCUUCUUUCUGUUCUCCAUGCAAACUAGAGUGAUACCAACUUUCCUCAAAGCUAUUUGAAAGCAAGAUUCACAAAAGCAGAGAUUUUUUUCUUUGUUCUCUCUGACAAACUCAAAUUCUUAGUAGAAGGC